UUAAGCGACUAAGCGUACACGGUGGAUGCCCUGGCAGUCAGAGGCGAUGAAGGACGUGCUAAUCUGCGAUAAGCGUCGGUAAGGUGAUAUGAACCGUUAUAACCGGCGAUUUCCGAAUGGGGAAACCCAGUGUGUUUCGACACACUAUCAUUAACUGAAUCCAUAGGUUAAUGAGGCGAACCGGGGGAACUGAAACAUCUAAGUACCCCGAGGAAAAGAAAUCAACCGAGAUUCCCCCAGUAGCGGCGAGCGAACGGGGAGCAGCCCAGAGCCUGAAUCAGUGUGUGUGUUAGUGGAAGCGUCUGGAAAGGCGUGCGAUACAGGGUGACAGCCCCGUACACAAAAAUGCACAUGCUGUGAGCUCGAUGAGUAGGGCGGGACACGUGGUAUCCUGUCUGAAUAUGGGGGGACCAUCCUCCAAGGCUAAAUACUCCUGACUGACCGAUAGUGAACCAGUACCGUGAGGGAAAGGCGAAAAGAACCCCGGCGAGGGGAGUGAAAAAGAACCUGAAACCGUGUACGUACAAGCAGUGGGAGCACGCUUAGGCGUGUGACUGCGUACCUUUUGUAUAAUGGGUCAGCGACUUAUAUUCUGUAGCAAGGUUAACCGAAUAGGGGAGCCGAAGGGAAACCGAGUCUUAACUGGGCGUUAAGUUGCAGGGUAUAGACCCGAAACCCGGUGAUCUAGCCAUGGGCAGGUUGAAGGUUGGGUAACACUAACUGGAGGACCGAACCGACUAAUGUUGAAAAAUUAGCGGAUGACUUGUGGCUGGGGGUGAAAGGCCAAUCAAACCGGGAGAUAGCUGGUUCUCCCCGAAAGCUAUUUAGGUAGCGCCUCGUGAAUUCAUCUCCGGGGGUAGAGCACUGUUUCGGCAAGGGGGUCAUCCCGACUUACCAACCCGAUGCAAACUGCGAAUACCGGAGAAUGUUAUCACGGGAGACACACGGCGGGUGCUAACGUCCGUCGUGAAGAGGGAAACAACCCAGACCGCCAGCUAAGGUCCCAAAGUCAUGGUUAAGUGGGAAACGAUGUGGGAAGGCCCAGACAGCCAGGAUGUUGGCUUAGAAGCAGCCAUCAUUUAAAGAAAGCGUAAUAGCUCACUGGUCGAGUCGGCCUGCGCGGAAGAUGUAACGGGGCUAAACCAUGCACCGAAGCUGCGGCAGCGACGCUUAUGCGUUGUUGGGUAGGGGAGCGUUCUGUAAGCCUGUGAAGGUGUACUGUGAGGUAUGCUGGAGGUAUCAGAAGUGCGAAUGCUGACAUAAGUAACGAUAAAGCGGGUGAAAAGCCCGCUCGCCGGAAGACCAAGGGUUCCUGUCCAACGUUAAUCGGGGCAGGGUGAGUCGACCCCUAAGGCGAGGCCGAAAGGCGUAGUCGAUGGGAAACAGGUUAAUAUUCCUGUACUUGGUGUUACUGCGAAGGGGGGACGGAGAAGGCUAUGUUGGCCGGGCGACGGUUGUCCCGGUUUAAGCGUGUAGGCUGGUUUUCCAGGCAAAUCCGGAAAAUCAAGGCUGAGGCGUGAUGACGAGGCACUACGGUGCUGAAGCAACAAAUGCCCUGCUUCCAGGAAAAGCCUCUAAGCAUCAGGUAACAUCAAAUCGUACCCCAAACCGACACAGGUGGUCAGGUAGAGAAUACCAAGGCGCUUGAGAGAACUCGGGUGAAGGAACUAGGCAAAAUGGUGCCGUAACUUCGGGAGAAGGCACGCUGAUAUGUAGGUGAAGUCCCUCGCGGAUGGAGCUGAAAUCAGUCGAAGAUACCAGCUGGCUGCAACUGUUUAUUAAAAACACAGCACUGUGCAAACACGAAAGUGGACGUAUACGGUGUGACGCCUGCCCGGUGCCGGAAGGUUAAUUGAUGGGGUUAGCCGCAAGGCGAAGCUCUUGAUCGAAGCCCCGGUAAACGGCGGCCGUAACUAUAACGGUCCUAAGGUAGCGAAAUUCCUUGUCGGGUAAGUUCCGACCUGCACGAAUGGCGUAAUGAUGGCCAGGCUGUCUCCACCCGAGACUCAGUGAAAUUGAACUCGCUGUGAAGAUGCAGUGUACCCGCGGCAAGACGGAAAGACCCCGUGAACCUUUACUAUAGCUUGACACUGAACAUUGAGCCUUGAUGUGUAGGAUAGGUGGGAGGCUUUGAAGUGUGGACGCCAGUCUGCAUGGAGCCGACCUUGAAAUACCACCCUUUAAUGUUUGAUGUUCUAACGUUGACCCGUAAUCCGGGUUGCGGACAGUGUCUGGUGGGUAGUUUGACUGGGGCGGUCUCCUCCUAAAGAGUAACGGAGGAGCACGAAGGUUGGCUAAUCCUGGUCGGACAUCAGGAGGUUAGUGCAAUGGCAUAAGCCAGCUUGACUGCGAGCGUGACGGCGCGAGCAGGUGCGAAAGCAGGUCAUAGUGAUCCGGUGGUUCUGAAUGGAAGGGCCAUCGCUCAACGGAUAAAAGGUACUCCGGGGAUAACAGGCUGAUACCGCCCAAGAGUUCAUAUCGACGGCGGUGUUUGGCACCUCGAUGUCGGCUCAUCACAUCCUGGGGCUGAAGUAGGUCCCAAGGGUAUGGCUGUUCGCCAUUUAAAGUGGUACGCGAGCUGGGUUUAGAACGUCGUGAGACAGUUCGGUCCCUAUCUGCCGUGGGCGCUGGAGAACUGAGGGGGGCUGCUCCUAGUACGAGAGGACCGGAGUGGACGCAUCACUGGUGUUCGGGUUGUCAUGCCAAUGGCACUGCCCGGUAGCUAAAUGCGGAAGAGAUAAGUGCUGAAAGCAUCUAAGCACGAAACUUGCCCCGAGAUGAGUUCUCCCUGACUCCUUGAGAGUCCUGAAGGAACGUUGAAGACGACGACGUUGAUAGGCCGGGUGUGUAAGCGCAGCGAUGCGUUGAGCUAACCGGUACUAAUGAACCGUGAGGCUUAACCUU
This 2904-nucleotide ribosomal RNA is filed under the name Escherichia coli 3-373-03_S4_C2. Its description in RNAcentral is "bacterial LSU rRNA". It matches the Rfam family "Bacterial large subunit ribosomal RNA". RNAcentral also lists the same sequence under 1 other name. The record is from RNAcentral. Lineage: Bacteria; Pseudomonadati; Pseudomonadota; Gammaproteobacteria; Enterobacterales; Enterobacteriaceae.